AUGCCUGAAUGGGGAUGUCCACAACGGAAUUCAGAGCUACUGGUUGGUGCGCUUAUUUAUUUUCUGUCUGUUAGUAUAUACAUUGAAAUCAUCAUAACAUGGAUAAUAUUACAUGUUAUGAUGAUUUUUCUUAGAGCUGGGGACAGGAUGGCGUGCGACGUACGCUGGUCGGUCUCGUUCGCACCCGACCUCACGACGGCACGCACUCUGGUCUUCACCGACGGUGAGAUCCGGCUGCGACACGACGCACUCCGGAUCGUGCUGAUCGAUGAGAGGGGGGUGACGGUCGAUGCACGCUUUCUCCGGGUCAGGGAGUGCAUCAACGUGGGACAAGCCGUUUCCUUCCACUAG
Molecule: ribosomal RNA, 351 nt
Filed under: Triticum aestivum (bread wheat)
Lineage: Eukaryota; Viridiplantae; Streptophyta; Magnoliopsida; Poales; Poaceae
Description: partial small subunit ribosomal RNA
Source: RNAcentral